GCCUUCUGGAAGUUCCCGCCGAAACCAGACUGACCAUCCUUUAGAAACAAAAGGUAUUAAACUCAUGUCUUUAGUCUUGGUGUUGCUGCAAGCGGAGCGCCCUCUGACUUAACCCUGCUCUGGGACAGAAAGCAAUAUUUCAGUCAGGGUUGGUACAUGCCGGAUGCUACAGACUUCGCCUUGUGUGGGGAUCAGAAGCAGAUGGUGAUUAACACAGUCUUCAUACUCCACCACCACCACCACGCGCGCCACUCCCACUCGUCUUGGCAAUUCACCACAGCAGCAGGAGCAGUCUAUCCCAGCCUGGGCACGCGCAUGACCGACAUACAUCUGGAGGGUCUCCCAUAUACCCACACCUAGCAGCAAACAAAGGGUCUGGACACCCGUCCCCUCCCACUGUCCUGACCCCAGGCCAGAGAGGGCGGGGCUCUUCUCUCCAGCCCCUUUUCCUAGCAAGGAUUUGAAUCAUCAUUCUUAUAAAAAUGAGGAAGUGGCUAACAAGAUGGCUCAGAGAAUAAAGUGCUUACCAUCAAGUCUGCAGAUAGAAGAUCCACAUGGUGGAAGAGAGCCGACCCCUGUCUUUGAGCUCCACACAUACACUGCUAUGCAUGCCCGCCCUUCCCGUCCCCACAUAAAGAAAUAAAUGGAACUGUUUCCUUUUUCUUUUU
Long non-coding RNA from Mus musculus (house mouse), 668 nucleotides. RefSeq annotates it as predicted gene, 35977. The transcript has 4 exons. The record is from RefSeq and is a predicted model, not a curated record. Lineage: Eukaryota; Metazoa; Chordata; Mammalia; Rodentia; Muridae.